GGUCCCGUGGUGUAGUGGUUAACAUGCCUGCCUGUCACGCAGGAGAUCGCGGGUUCGAGUCCCGUCGGGACCGCCA
RNAcentral lists this transfer RNA (76 nucleotides) under Bacillus sp. (in: firmicutes). Its description in RNAcentral is "tRNA-Asp". It matches the Rfam family "tRNA". From Rfam's summary of the family: Transfer RNA (tRNA) molecules are approximately 80 nucleotides in length. Their secondary structure includes four short double-helical elements and three loops (D, anti-codon, and T loops). RNAcentral also lists the same sequence under 8 other names. Lineage: Bacteria; Bacillati; Bacillota; Bacilli; Caryophanales; Bacillaceae. The record is from RNAcentral.